UUACCUUAUUGUGAAUUACAACAUGUUUUUUAGCUAGAGGUAAAAAGCCGUCAGUGCCCGAACUUGGUGAUUCGGCAGGAGCAUUAGAAAAAUCUAAUGCAUACACAAAAAGAAUAAGAGUAGAAUAGAUCACAAA
RNAcentral lists this small RNA (136 nucleotides) under Arabidopsis thaliana (thale cress). RNAcentral describes it as "ATSL182760". Lineage: Eukaryota; Viridiplantae; Streptophyta; Magnoliopsida; Brassicales; Brassicaceae. The record is from RNAcentral.